RNAcentral lists this ribosomal RNA (468 nucleotides) under uncultured bacterium. Its description in RNAcentral is "partial 16S ribosomal RNA". It matches the Rfam family "Bacterial small subunit ribosomal RNA", at positions 28 to 507 of the family's 1533-position model. The record is from RNAcentral.
GACGAACGCUGGCGGCGUGCUUAACACAUGCAAGUCGAGCGGAAAGGCCCGGUUUUUUGCUGUUGCGCUAGUGGCGAACGGGUGAGUAACAAGUGAGUAACCUGCCCGUGACUUUGGGAUAGCUUCAGGGAACUGAGGCUGAUAACUGAUAGGAACGCCUGCUACAUGGUGUGGGGUGGAGAGGUUCGGCGGUUGGUGAUGGACACGCGGCUUAUCAGCUUGUUGGUUGGGUAGUGGCUUACCAAGGCUUUGACGGGUAGGCGGCCUGAGAGGGUGACCGGCAACAUUGGGACUGAGAUACGGCCCAGACUCCUACGGGAGGCAGCAGUGGGGAAUAUUGCACAAUGGGCGGAAGCCUGAUGCAGCAACGCCGCGUGCGGGAUGACGGCCUUCGGGUUGUAAACCGCUUUCGCCUGUGACGAAGCGUGAGUGACGGUAAUGGGUAAAGAAGCACCGGCUAACUACGUG